AUAGUGCACCCCUUUUUGACUGCACCUGAGGUGGAGCACUUCAGUUGCCCUCUCCUUGGUAUACCACUGAAGAUUUGAAGGUCUCCAGGCUCCUGGCUUGCUCCAGUCUGCCUUUCAGGCCAUGUGAUGAUGGAUGCAUCAUCAAUAAGCCAAGGAUCACCAAAGAAGCUACCAAAAGCUAGGAAGAGACAAGGAGUGAGUCUUUCCCAGAGCCUUCAGAGGGAGCAUGGCCCUGCUGAUACUUGAUUUUGAACUUCUAGCCUCCAAAAAU
Sus scrofa (pig) is the source of this 271-nucleotide non-coding RNA. NCBI's taxonomy places the organism in Eukaryota, Metazoa, Chordata, Mammalia, Artiodactyla, Suidae. The record is from RefSeq and is a predicted model, not a curated record.